GACGAACGCUGGCGGCGUGCUUAACACAUGCAAGUCGAACGGAAAGGCCCAGCUUGCUGGGUGCUCGAGUGGCGAACGGGUGAGUAACACGUGGGUGAUCUGCCUCUAACUUCGGGAUAAGCUUGGGAAACUGGGUCUAAUACCGGAUAGGACAAUCGUUUAGUGUCGGUUGUGGAAAGUUUUUUCGGUUAGGGAUGAGCCCGCGGCCUAUCAGCUUGUUGGUGGGGUAAUGGCCUGCCAAGGCGUCGACGGGUAGCCGGCCUGAGAGGGUGGACGGCCACAUUGGGACUGAGAUACGGCCCAGACUCCUACGGGAGGCAGCAGUGGGGAAUAUUGCACAAUGGGCGCAAGCCUGAUGCAGCGACGCCGCGUGGGGGAUGACGGCCUUCGGGCUGUAAACCUCUUUCGACAGGGACGAAGCUUUGGUGACGGUACCUGUAUAAGAAGCACCGGCUAACUACGUG
This 464-nucleotide ribosomal RNA is filed under the name uncultured bacterium. RNAcentral's name for it is "partial 16S ribosomal RNA". It matches the Rfam family "Bacterial small subunit ribosomal RNA", at positions 28 to 507 of the family's 1533-position model. The record is from RNAcentral.